This 464-nucleotide ribosomal RNA is filed under the name uncultured bacterium. RNAcentral describes it as "partial 16S ribosomal RNA". It matches the Rfam family "Bacterial small subunit ribosomal RNA", at positions 338 to 795 of the family's 1533-position model. The record is from RNAcentral.
CCUACGGGAGGCAGCAGUAGGGAAUUUUCGUCAAUGGGCGCAAGCCUGAACGAGCAAUGCCGCGUGAACGAGGAAGGUCUUCGGAUCGUAAAGUUCUGUUGAAGGGGAAAAAGAGCGGAGAGAGGAAAUGAACUCCGAUUGAUAUUACCCUUCGAGGAAGUCACGGCUAACUACGUGCCAGCAGCCGCGGUAAUACGUAGGUGGCGAGCGUUAUCCGGAAUGAGUGGGCGUAAAGGGUGCGUAGGCGGCCUGCUAAGUCGUGGGGGAAAGGUACCGGCUCAACCGGUACAGGCCAUGGAAACUGGCGAGCUAGAGAGCAGGAGAGGGCGGUGGAACUCCAUGUGUAGCGGUAAAAUGCGUAGAUAUAUGGAAGAACACCAGUGGCGAAGGCGGCCGCCUGGCCUGUUACUGACGCUGAGGCACGAAAGCGUGGGGAGCAAAUAGGAUUAGAUACCCCUGUAGUC